GAUGAAGGAACGCAGCGAAAUGCGAUAAGUAAUGUGAAUUGCAGAAUUCAGUGAAUCAUCGAGUCUUUGAACGCACAUUGCGCCCCCUGGUAUUCCGGGGGGCAUGCCUGUCCGAGCGUCAUUGCCGCCCUCAAGCACGGCUUGUGUGUUGGGCCCCCGCCCCCCGGCUUCGGGGGGCGGGCCCGAAAGGCAGCGGCGGCACCGCGUCCGGUCCUCGAGCGUAUGGGGCUUCGUCACCCGCUCUGUAGGCCCGGCCGGCGCCCGCCGGCGACCCCAAUCAAUCUUUCCAGGUUGACCUCGGAUCAGGUAGGGAUACCCGCUGAACUUAAGCAUAUCAAUAAGCGGAGGA
RNAcentral lists this unclassified non-coding RNA (349 nucleotides) under soil metagenome. Its description in RNAcentral is "partial contains 5.8S ribosomal RNA, internal transcribed spacer 2, and large subunit ribosomal RNA". The stretch from base 1 to 121 matches the Rfam family "5.8S ribosomal RNA", at positions 35 to 154 of the family's 154-position model. The record is from RNAcentral.